UAGUACUAAAGCCUUUGGUCUCCCUCUUGUCUUUGCAUCUAUCAUACCUCUCUCAUCUUGUUAAACCUAGAAAUAUUACCAUCAACGAACUUAGCGGAAGGAAGAUCCAUUCCGACAAGGGACAACCAUUUCAGCUAAUAUAAGGGAAUCUCAGAUGUAGGUUAUCGAUAUAUUUCCCGUGUUCGAUAUAUUUUGUUGUUAUUCGCUGUUCGCUAUUGUUUCGCCGGAAAAUUGGUUCGUUGCUUCUUCUGUUUUCUUUCAUUGGUAAGAUUUUUGUUAAACCCAUUAAUUUACUCUGUCCUUGAUUUGUAUUAUAUGAUUAAUUUUUUGAUUUCUAAUUUGUAAAAUUGGGGUUUAGUUGGUGGAUCUGGAUAGAUGAAAGGGAUGUUGAGAAUAGAACAAUUUCAUGUUUAAAUCUUUUUCUAGUAUGGGCUUUUUUUUGAUAUUUUUUUGUGUUCGAUAUUUUCUGUGGUUGUUCGCUAUUGUUUUACCGAAAAAUUGUUUCACUACUUCUGUUUUCUUUAUUUGAUAAGAUUUAUGAUAAACCCAUUAAUUUACUCUAUACUUUGUUUGUAUUAUAUGAUAAUGUUUUUUAUUUCUGGUUUGUAAAAUUGGGGGUUUGGUUGGUGGAUUUGGAUAGGGCUGUUGAGAAUAGACCAGUUUUGUGUUUAAAUCUUUUUCUAGUAUGGACUUUUUAUCAACAAUGAGUCUUAUUCUACAUUUUUCUUUCUUGACAAUAAUGGUUUGUACUAUUUGAAGGAAGAAACUUAUUCAGUAAUGAACAAUUACAAUACAAGUAUAAUAAAAUAUAAUCUUUGUUGGUUCAUAUGCUCCUACACUUAAUUUCAACUGCCUAGACUUUUUGUUUUAUGAAAUAAGUUGUAUUUCAUUAACAAGAAGCAUCCAGGGGAUGCAUAGGUUACAAAAAAAGGAAAAUAUCAACUGCCUAGAUUAGAAAUCCAUUUACUAGGACUUCCACUUGUUUCCAAUUUAAGGUAAUAAGCUCUCUUUCUAGUUUAAUUUUCUACUCAAUACACCUUUUCACUUUUCCAAUAGUAGGAUCUAGAACUAGGAAGCUACCAAAAAUAUGGCAAAGUCUUUGUUAUAUUAACAAAUUUCCAGCAGAGUUAACUUUUUUCAAAAUAUGGUAGAAUCCCUACAAUUAAGAAAACUGACUAAUUAUUAAAUUAAUUCAAACCUAAAAGAACUCCAUUUUAUAUGAUAUUAAUUAAUCACUUAUUAAGAGAUAUUAUGUUAUUUUUGGACAAAUUACUUAGUGGAUCUCUUCUUUAGAGUUUUCUGCUGGUGUUUUUUUAUUAGUCAUUUUGAUCACCUUCAUAGUUUUUCACCUUUUUCAUUUUCUUGCUUAUGCUUUUUCCAACACACAUCAAUCAUCAUCUUCACAACAUUAUUAUUGUAUAGUAUAUACUGUAUGAUAUAUAGUAAUUGUAGGAAAAGAGAAAUUUGGUGAUAAUACAUACAAUAACUGAAUUUGACAGAAUGGUUCCUUCUCUAUUACAAUUAACUAUAAUAAAGUGAUCUGGUAUUGUGAUUCUAAUGAAAUCAUGUGCCUUAUGCUUGUGGCUUUCUAUGUAGUAUUUCAUAAUGAAUACACAUGAUUGAAAAUCUCACAUCUAAAUUUAAUAGCCACCAUUUCUUAAAAUAUUUGCUAUCGAUGUUCGAUGUCUUGUUCGUUAUUGUGGAAAAUCAUUUUGAUGCUCCUUUUCUUUUCUCUGGUAAUAUUGCUAAUAAGUCUACUAUUUUACUUUCUGUUGUUAGUAUUAUAUGAUACAUUUUGUAAUUUUUGGUUUGCGAUAUUGGGGUUUAGUUGUUUGAUUUUUAAUUUCGUAUUAGAAAUCAUGAUAUUUGCCUUACGUAACUAUUUAUGUGAUGGUUUUGGUGACUGUUAAGUUUUGCAACAGUGAAAUCUAUAUAAUUUUGACAAUAAGUGACUUUUUUCUAUAUUUCUUAUUAUUUGAUUUUUUAUUAAGAGUAUAUAAACAAAUUUUAUACUAGUUGUUUUGGUGUUAUAUAGGAUAAAAUUAAUU
RNAcentral lists this long non-coding RNA (2048 nucleotides) under Nicotiana tabacum (common tobacco). RNAcentral's name for it is "long non-coding RNA (NTAB_LNC012832)". The record is from RNAcentral. Lineage: Eukaryota; Viridiplantae; Streptophyta; Magnoliopsida; Solanales; Solanaceae.